ACGGCCUCACCAUUUUCCAUUUCCUUUGUAACUUUUCUCACCUUCAAAUCCUUUGAGGAUGCCUGUGUUUUAAGAAGUUGCUCUAGUGGCUCUUCUUUUCUUCUUUUCAUUUUCUCUUCGUGGGCUAGUAAAGAACCUUCCAAUUGUUCUACCGUCAUAAAAUCUAAAUCUUUAGACUCAUCAAUAACACACACCACAUAAUUAAAUUUAGGUGUUAAAGAAUGAAGGAUCUUUUCUACCGCAUGCAAAUCAUCUACUUCCUCCCCGUAUCUUCUUAGUUAAUUUACAACAACCAUCAAUCUUGAACAGAAAUCUGAAAUGGAUUCAGAUUCUUUCAUUUUUAAAACUUCAAAGUCAGCCCUUAGAGAUUGAGGUUUUAUCUUCUUUACUUUAUCAACUCCUUGAAGAGAAUUUUGUAAAAUCUCCCAAGCUUCUUUUGAGGUGGUGGCAUCAACCACCUUCUCAAACAUGCCA
Molecule: long non-coding RNA, 474 nt
Filed under: Solanum tuberosum (potato)
Lineage: Eukaryota; Viridiplantae; Streptophyta; Magnoliopsida; Solanales; Solanaceae
Description: long non-coding RNA (STUB_LNC007471)
Source: RNAcentral